GGCGAGUGAAGCGGUAACAGCUCAAAUUUGAAAUCUGGCCUCACGGUCCGAGUUGUAAUUUGUAGAGGAUGCUUCGAGCAUGGUCUGGCCUAAGUUCCUUGGAACAGGACGUCAUAGAGGGUGAGAAUCCCGUAUGCGGCCAGGUGCCUACGCUCAUGUGAAGCUCCUUCGACGAGUCGAGUUGUUUGGGAAUGCAGCUCAAAAUGGGUGGUAAAUUUCAUCUAAAGCUAAAUAUUGGCCAGAGACCGAUAGCGCACAAGUAGAGUGAUCGAAAGAUGAAAAGCACUUUGGAAAGAGAGUUAAACAGUACGUGAAAUUGUUGAAAGGGAAGCGCUUGCAACCAGACUUGCGCGCGGCCGAUCAUCCGGUGUUCUCACCGGUGCACUCGGCCGUGCUCAGGCCAGCAUCGGUUUUGGCGGCUGGAUAAAGGCCCUAGGAAUGUGGCUCCUCUCGGGGAGUGUUAUAGCCUAGGGUGCAAUGCAGCCUGCUGGGACCGAGGACCGCGCUUCGGCUAGGAUGCUGGCGUAAUGGUUGUAAGCGGCCCGUCUUGAAACACGGACCAAGGAGUCUAACAUCUAUGCGAGUGUUUGGGUGUCAAACCCAUACGCGUAAUGAAAGUGAACGGAGGUGAGAACCCUUAAGGGUGCAUCAUCGACCGGUCCUGAAGUUUACGGAAGGAUCUGAGUAAGAGCAUAGCUGUUGGGACCCGAAAGAUGGUGAACUAUGCCUGAAUAGGGUGAAGCCAGAGGAAACUCUGGUGGAGGCUCGCAGCGGUUCUGACGUGCAAAUCGAU
This 793-nucleotide ribosomal RNA is filed under the name Pseudogymnoascus sp. RNAcentral's name for it is "partial large subunit ribosomal RNA". It matches the Rfam family "Eukaryotic large subunit ribosomal RNA", at positions 88 to 902 of the family's 3401-position model. The record is from RNAcentral. Lineage: Eukaryota; Fungi; Ascomycota; Leotiomycetes; Thelebolales; Thelebolaceae.